RNAcentral lists this ribosomal RNA (269 nucleotides) under uncultured prokaryote. RNAcentral describes it as "partial 16S ribosomal RNA". It matches the Rfam family "Bacterial small subunit ribosomal RNA", at positions 524 to 792 of the family's 1533-position model. The record is from RNAcentral.
UACGUAGGUGGCAAGCGUUAUCCGGAUUUACUGGGUGUAAAGGGCGUGUAGGCGGGUCUGCAAGUCAGAUGUGAAAUACUGCGGCUCAACCGCAGAAUUGCAUUUGAAACUACGGAUCUUGAGUGUCGGAGAGGUAAUUGGAAUUCCCAGUGUAGCGGUGAAAUGCGUAGAGAUUGGGAGGAACACCAGUGGCGAAGGCGGAUUACUGGACGACAACUGACGCUGAGACACGAAAGCGUGGGGAGCAAACAGGAUUAGAUACCCGGGUA